This 667-nucleotide ribosomal RNA is filed under the name uncultured forest soil bacterium. RNAcentral's name for it is "bacterial SSU rRNA". It matches the Rfam family "Bacterial small subunit ribosomal RNA", at positions 64 to 767 of the family's 1533-position model. The record is from RNAcentral.
GAACGAGAAAGUCCGCAAGGAUGAGUAGAGUGCGUACGGUGAGUAACACGUGGAUAACCUGCCCUUUAGUGGGGAAUACCGCUGGGAAACCGGUGACAAUACCGCAUAAGCCCGAGAGGGGAAAGCAGAAAUGCGCUGAAGGAGGGGUCCGCGGCCGAUUAGCUAGUUGGUAGGGUAAAAGCCUACCAAGGCUGUGAUCGGUAGCCGGCCUGAGAGGGCACACGGCCACACUGGCACUGAAACACGGGCCAGACUCCUACGGGAGGCAGCAGUGGGGAAUCUUGCACAAUGGGGGAAACCCUGAUGCAGCGACGCCGCGUGAGCGAUGAAGCCCUUCGGGGUGUAAAGCUCUUUCGGCAGGGACGAUAAUGACGGUACCUGCAGAAGCAGCUGCGGCUAACUACGUGCCAGCAGCCGCGGUAAUACGUAGGCAGCAAGCGUUGUUCGGAGUUACUGGGCGUAAGGGGUGCGUAGGCGGCUUUUUAAGUCUGGUGUGAAAUCUCCCGGCUCAACUGGGAGGGUGCGCCGGAUACUGAGAGGCUAGAGUGUGGGAGAGGAAAGUGGAAUUCCUGGUGUAGCGGUGAAAUGCGUAGAUAUCAGGAGGAACACCGGUGGUGUAAACGGCUUUCUGGACCAUUACUGACGCUGAUGCACGAAAGCGUGGGUA